RNAcentral lists this ribosomal RNA (502 nucleotides) under uncultured bacterium. RNAcentral's name for it is "partial 16S ribosomal RNA". It matches the Rfam family "Bacterial small subunit ribosomal RNA", at positions 30 to 523 of the family's 1533-position model. The record is from RNAcentral.
AUUGAACGCUGGCGGAAUGCUUUACACAUGCAAGUCGAACGGCAGCAUAGGUGCUUGCACCUGAUGGCGAGUGGCGAACGGGUGAGUAAUACAUCGGAACGUGCCCAGUCGUGGGGGAUAACGUAGCGAAAGUUACGCUAAUACCGCAUACGAUCUAAGGAUGAAAGCGGGGGACCGUAAGGCCUUGCGCGAUUGGAGCGGCCGAUGUCAGAUUAGGUAGUUGGUGAGGUAAAGGCUCACCAAGCCGACGAUCUGUAGCUGGUCUGAGAGGACGACCAGCCACACUGGGACUGAGACACGGCCCAGACUCCUACGGGAGUCAGCAGUGGGGAAUUUUGGACAAUGGACGCAAGUCUGAUCCAGCCAUUCCGCGUGCAGGACGAAGGCCUUCGGGUUGUAAACUGCUUUUGUACGGAACGAAAAAGCUCUUACUAAUACUAGGAGUCCAUGACGGUACCGUGAGAAUAAGCACCGGCUAACUACGUGCCAGCAGCCGCGGUAA